AAGCUGUAGUAUAAUUUUAUUAUAUCUUAUUGUCGAUGGGAAGAUUCCGGUUUUA
RNAcentral lists this transfer RNA (55 nucleotides) under Parascaris univalens. RNAcentral's name for it is "tRNA-Asp". Lineage: Eukaryota; Metazoa; Nematoda; Chromadorea; Rhabditida; Ascarididae. The record is from RNAcentral.